UCCCUCGAGCCGUAUUUGAACCAGCGGCCUAAGGAUCACCGUUGUAACAUCUUCAGUCCUCCGCUCUACCGACUGAGCUAUCGAGGG
Molecule: transfer RNA, 87 nt
Filed under: Cordylochernes scorpioides
Lineage: Eukaryota; Metazoa; Arthropoda; Arachnida; Pseudoscorpiones; Chernetidae
Description: tRNA-Phe
Source: RNAcentral